RNAcentral lists this long non-coding RNA (418 nucleotides) under Mus musculus (house mouse). RNAcentral describes it as "long non-coding RNA chrX:136920240-136920658". Lineage: Eukaryota; Metazoa; Chordata; Mammalia; Rodentia; Muridae. The record is from RNAcentral.
AGUCCUGAAUUUCUUCCUCCAAGGGGAAAAUUCAGAAACAAAGAAAAUAUAUGCUAGACAAUAGAAAGUUGUUUCAUAUUCCAGAGCUCUGUGUAGGAAGCACACUACAUGUCACCACAGCCAACCCCUAUGCUAGUAAGAAAACAAACAACAAAAGCAGACAGUUCCUGGGAAUGUGUGGCUAUCAAUCAGGAAAAGGGAUUGGGGCUACUUUCACCUCAGGAACACAUCUGAAGGAUUGAAGGACAAGGUGUGGUAAUUUGCUUUGAACCAUAUAAUCUGUGAAUCCAUGAGAUCCAAGUGGUGAAGUUUGAGAAGCAGCUGGACAACAAACAGCCUGUUGUACUUACAAGAUACCCACCCUGAAUUCAGCACCUUUGAUAUGACUAUGAAGCUGGUCCCACAUGAGUCCUGUAGG